UUCUCUACCAGUCAACCAAUGGGCUAUACCAGAAAGAUUAAGUAGGUCUUUAGUGUUAAACGGUAUUUGGUUUAUUUGGUAAUUUUUAUGUGAUUUCUUCAAAGAAUCGCGGACUCUUUUAAUCCUGAUAGCCUGAUAGGAGAAAGGAACUGUCCCAAGAUUUGUUUUCCAUUCCGUUUACCAUUUUUUCAUAGCUAUAUCGGUAAUGGGAUGGACAAUCCCAAAAAUGUCUGGAAAUCUUGGGACAAUUUUUUUCCCCUAUUAG
Leguminivora glycinivorella is the source of this 265-nucleotide long non-coding RNA. RefSeq lists it as uncharacterized. The transcript is spliced from 2 exons. NCBI's taxonomy places the organism in Eukaryota, Metazoa, Arthropoda, Insecta, Lepidoptera, Tortricidae. The record is from RefSeq and is a predicted model, not a curated record.